AUUGAACGCUGGCGGCAGGCCUAACACAUGCAAGUCGAGCGGAUGAAGGGAGCUUGCUCCUGGAUUCAGCGGCGGACGGGUGAGUAAUGCCUAGGAAUCUGCCUGGUCGUGGGGGAUAACGUCCGGAAACGGGCGCUAAUCUCGCAUACGACCUGAGGUAGAAAGUGGGGGAUCUUCGGACCUCACGCUAUCAGAUGAGCCUAGGUCGGAUUAGCUAGUUGGUGGGGUAACGGCCUACCAAGGCGACGAUCCGUAACUGGUCUGAGAGGAUGAUCAGUCACACUGGAACUGAGACACGGUCCAGACUCCUACGGGAGGCAGCAGUGGGGAAUCUUGGACAAUGGGCGAAAGCCUGAUCCAGCCAUGCCGCGUGUGUGAUGAAGGUCUUCGGAUUGUAAAGCACUGUAAGUUGGGAGGAAGGGCAGUAAGUUUAUACCUUGCUGUUUUGACGGUACCAACAGAAUAAGCACCGGCUAACUUCGUG
This 484-nucleotide ribosomal RNA is filed under the name uncultured bacterium. RNAcentral's name for it is "partial 16S ribosomal RNA". It matches the Rfam family "Bacterial small subunit ribosomal RNA", at positions 30 to 507 of the family's 1533-position model. The record is from RNAcentral.